RNAcentral lists this long non-coding RNA (44367 nucleotides) under Aquilegia coerulea. RNAcentral describes it as "long non-coding RNA (ACOE_LNC001085)". The record is from RNAcentral. Lineage: Eukaryota; Viridiplantae; Streptophyta; Magnoliopsida; Ranunculales; Ranunculaceae.
CUUGUAUCUUAGCAUCUUGCAUUGCUUCACGGGGGACAAGCAUAGGUGCUGGAAUAUGUAAUCGUAAUGUUUCCUUAAUCACCAUUUUCAUGUAGUGCAUUUUUUCAAGAUCAUCUUCUGUGAUAAAUCCUUUUCCCUUAGCUAUUUCUCUUAUCUCCAUUUGGACUUCUUUCAUUAUGUCUGCCUGUUGGAUUAGCUCUGUCAUUGCCCAAACCACGGUCAAUAACGAAGUAUCCGUCCCAGCAGAGAACAUAUCCUACAAGAAAAAAAAAUAGCAACAAAAACUGUAAGCAGGCAGCCGCGAUGGAAUGAACAUAAGAGUGAUGAGUAGAAUAUACUUACCAAGAUUAUUGCUUUGAUGUUAUCAUUAUCGAAGGGAACGCCGCCCAUUGAACCAUUUUGCUCGAGUUCAAGCAAAACAUCUACAAAGUCUUCCACACCCUUCUUAUCUUUCUUCCUGCUCUGAAUAUGCUCUUGAAUCACCUUUUCCAAGAACUCAUCCAUUUCAUUAUAGUUUUUCACGGCUCUCGCAUUAAGUCCGUUAAGUAUAUUCACCCAAGAAAGCCAAGGAAUGAAGUCCUCAACAUUAAAAACACUAACAAAAUACAAGAACUCUGCUAUAAUUUUUUGAAACUUCAUACCACCUUCAUCUGCACCAAACUUCCUCCCCAUUGUAACCCGACAGACUACAUUAUUUGUAAAUGAAAAUACCAAUUCACUCAAGUUCACACCAAUUGAAGAAGAAGUAGAAGAUAGAUGACGAAUUUUAUCGACCAUAAGAUUAGCUUCCUCUUCUCUAAGUGUUCUAAAUGAUGCCACUCUUUGAGAAGAAAAAAGAUGUGACGCACUAAUUUUUCGGACUUGUUUCCAGUAAUCACCAUAAGGUGCGAAAGCUAAGUCUUUAUAGGAAUAAGAAAGUUUUUCUGCAAACUUUCUUUUAGGUCUAUCUAAAAACUUAACUUCUUGUGUUUUCAAGAUCUCUCUGGCUGCAUCUACAGAAGAUACAAUCAAUGUCGGGGUUUGGCCUAAGCGAAGGAGCAUGAGGGGGCCAUAUUCUUUAGCAAGAAACUGAAGAGAUCGAUGUGGGAGUAAACCUAAUUGAUGAAGGUUUCCAAUUAUUGGAAGCUUUGAUGGUGAAGGUGGUAACUUGAGCUUCCUAUUCUUUUGAGAUGUAGUGAGUUUCAAAACAUAUAUUGUAACAAACAAAAUGAAAAAAAGUGAGAGCAAAAGGGGUUGUUGUUCUACCCAUUCAAACAUUCUUUCUUUCACUUAGACCAAAGCUUCACACACAGAGAGCUUAGUAUUUGAUUUCUUCACUUCCUGGGAGUAUAUGUAUGUUUUUUUCGCGGUGUGGCGAAAGAAUGCAUCAUAUAUUGGUGUUUUAAUUGGAGGACUAGUCUUUGAAAAAAAUCAUGUUGAUAAGAGUAUAGCAAUAGUUGAAGGAGUUGAAGAUUCUUUUUCAAAGUCAGGUGUGGAACAAUAUAUCUUUGAAUAGCUAGUCUGAUCCAGUUGCAUAACUUGAGUUGGUGAAACUUCUCUAUCACUUGGAAGGAAACAAACAUUAUUGCGGAUGCAUGCACAAACCAAGGUGUAGUAAUAAAAGUAAAAUUAUAGUAAAACCUCGAUAAAUGAAUACCCUUUUGGACCGGAUAUAUAGAUUAUUAUUUAAACGAGGUUAUUCAUUGAUCGAUCACUAUUUUAGUACAAAAUCUUGAAUUGGGACCGGACAAAUUUAUUACUUUAGCGAGGUUAUUCACUUAUCGAACAUUCAUUUAUCGAGGUUUAACUGUAGGUUGCAUCCCUCUCAUAAAGUGGAGGAGGUUAUAUAUGGGUUCGAAACACGUCAACAGCUGAUUCUUUGAUAAAAAAAGUUUCUUUCACCUUAUUGAAAAUAGAUCUCCUCAAUCGCGCUUGCUAAUAAAAUACAAACGAAAGAUUUAUCUAUUACGAGAGUAAUUAAAAUGUAAAGAGCUACAUUGUUUUUAUUUCUGUCAGUACAUUACCCUUUUCAGAAAAUUUUAUCAAAUUGAUUUUUCUUUCCCAUGACUUUUCUAUUCAACCCUUUAUUUCUACACUUGAGUAAUAGUGGAAAAAGUAUUGUCUAUAUAGAUUUAAAAAUGAGUUGUCCACUGUAUUUAAAACCAAAUUUCCAUGAGUAGUAAGACUUUAGUGAUGGAGGCUGGUGACUUCACUUCAAAGUAUUGUUCAACACACAUAGUGUUCAACAUUUCUCUUCCUCAUAAAUCAUAAUGAACAUAUAAUUCAAAAUUUGAGAAAAUAACAUACCUGUUAAAGUCUCAUUUAUGUUCUUUUAUAUAUAUUAUUACUAUUGACUAGUUGUUGAACCCGUGCAAUGCACCGGGGUUUGGUAACUUAUGAGAAAAAGAAUAAGUCACCCCCAAGGCCCCAAGUUUAAUCAAAGAGAAUAAGUCAACAAUAGCCCAUGGAAAUGGUUCUGGGACCUCAUUAAGCAUCCAUAAAACACAAAUGGCUCAGCUAAGGUCCGGUUUAUAAAAUUGGCCCUGAUUAAGUAUUUGUCGAAUAAGAAAAUACCCAUUUAACGUUGAUAUUGUAAAAACGGCCCUUUCACUACCAAUAAUACCCUUUUGGUUUAUGGAAACAAAUGUUUGCAUUUUAUGGUAUGUGGUGGUUGUUGUUUCGACUAUGCAAAUAAGUUUUUGCGUUUAAUGUUUAUGUGUGUUGUGACUGAUGCAAACAAGUAUUUACAUUUUAUGGUUUAUGUGAUUGUCGUUGCGAGUAUGCAAACAAGUUUUUGCAUUUAAUGUUUAUGUGUGUUGUGACUGAUGCAAACAAGUCUUUACAUUUUAUGGUUUAUGUGAUUGUUGUUGCGAGUAUGCAAACAAGUCUUUGCAUUUUAUGUUUGUGUUGUGACUGAUGCAAAUAAGUCUGUUUAUGUGUUUGUGAUAUGCAAACGAGUCUUUGCAUCAGUCGAGGGGUAAACUAGUCCAUAAGACACAAAAAUCAGCGGUUGGGCCUUUUUUUACCAAUAGUUCCCUAACCGGUCCAAUCUUACAUAUUAACAUCUUAAAAGGUCCGUUUUUUUAUUCCCUGAGCAAUAGCCAGUGCCCCACCAUUAUUAGCUAAUUGUUGUAAAUAAUCAUUUCCAUCAAAAGUUUUCAUUAUUGUUUUUCAAUUUGAAUGGCAAUGGUUACCUAUGGAUUUUUUUUUUAUCCCAUACUCAGUAAUGGAAGUAUUUAGGUAUGUCCAACAUCACAUCAUAAUAAUCAAAGAACGCAAAGCAUAAGCAAGCCACAAUGAGAUGUUAUACAAUCCAACUUUAUUAACAAAAGUAAGCCUCACUUGCACAACUACAUUUUUUUUUCGAUAAUGUAAAAUUAUUAUUAAUCAAACAAAACAAUUACAAUAAUCAUGAUCAACGUGCUUGAAGCAAGCAUGGUCAGGUAUUAACCAAACAGAAAGCACCAAAUAAUUUUUUUUUUUUUUUUUUACUAACCUAAAAUUUGCUUUUGUAAUUCCCUGUCAGUUCUGUUGACGAUGUUCACAGCCCUGGAAUGAAACUUUUCACUUGCCUGCUGUCAGUCCAUAGCUUCUGCUGCUUAUGGUCUUCUCCUCAUAUACCCAUGUUUCGUGUUGUUCCGUUCAGUUACAUCCCUGUCAGCUCACCCAUCUGCCAAACACCUUGCUGUAGUCAUUACCUUCUCCCAGCAACUCAUUCAUAACACAUUACCAUGUCCUUCUUUCAGUCUGCUGCGGUUUCUCUCAAUGUUAAUCCACCCCCACAUAUUUCCUUUCACCUGCAACACCAGCUACAUUUAUAGCAACAUGUCAUAAAAAAAUAGGAUUAUAUAUGUAUCUUACUAAGUCGUGGAAAAUGUGGAAAUGUAAUUGCCUUCAUCAUAUAUAUGCGUAUUUGAACAUUAACAUACACCUAGAUGGCCUGAUACUGUUAGAAUAGUUGUACUUGAGUGCAGACUUUAGGACAUUGGUAACAUAUUACAUUGUUAAUAUAUUACUGGAUAAACCUUUAGGUUAACUGAUUUAGUAGAUUUUGUAGGAUGGAAAUUUAUCCAUACUAAUGUCAUAUCUAUUUGGUUACCUUAUGUUCUUUUGAUUUGUUAAUAAAAAAUAUUAUUAUAAUUAAUAUAGUAUUUGAAUCAUAAAUACCAAAAUUCCUACUCAACCAAGGAAAUGAUGACAUGAACAAACCAUAUGCAUAAGAUAAGUAAAUGGUAAUUAAGGGUCCAUUACUGUCAUUUGUCAUAUACCUCAAAAAGUAUAAAGCCAAUCCCAAAUAGCUAAACAAAAAAAUAUAAUAUUAGUAAGAAAUGAUUUUGUUGCUUUGUUGCAAAUAUCAUUACUGAACCUCUAUACAGUAGAGUGUUUAUUCUUAUGCAAAUCUUGCAGUAAUAUAAUUCACUUCUAAACAAAUUUAAAGACAAAUAUAUAUCCAUGUACAUUGAGACUGGCUAGCUAUAACUCAAAAUGAAGUAUGAAAUCUCCAGAUUUUUGUGGCUUACUUACCUGUUCGAUCUCCCGUAGAAUUUCGCCAUACAUCUCCAGUCAGACCAUAGGUUCUAAGAGGUCAUCCUGCAUUAAGUAUAGUUCUUGCUCAUAGACAUCUCUCUUUGACGAAAAAUCCGGGGAGAAAAGGCGUCCCCCUCAUCUCUUGUAAAUAUCUGAUUGUUUGUUUCAUUAGUUAAGUAGUACUUUUAAUAGAUACGGGAGCAUUCUAGCCUGAAAUGAGAGGAUUUAAUAGUUAAGACUUUAGUGUUAGGUUCCAAUAGGCGCAUUGUAUUCAUGUAGUUUAAUGGAGAAUAACAUUAAGUUAGCUUUGUGUUUCUUUUGCUAUUUCAUGAAGUACAUCACUUAUCAAAACUUAAAACUGAGAAAAACAAUGAGAAAUCGUAUGCAGUUAUCAAAGUGACUUUUUCAUAUUUUUAUUCAAUAAGCAUAACGUAUUAUAACAAAAAUGGAAAAAUAAUCUACUAGAUAUAACGUAUUCACGUUAAAUUAUAUAAGGGAUGAAUUAACUACUACAAAUCAAUGUUGAGCCCACAGUUUCCUUAUAGUUCACGGGGCUGUAUGAUAUGGUCAAGUUACUGUUGCAGAGAAGCUUUGUGUUGGUGACCAUCAGGUUCAAUGGGUCUGUAAUAAGCAAAGAGUUUGUAAGUGCAUCAUUAUGCCGGACUACACUUGGUGCUCAUUGUGCCAAGAAUCAUAGAUAUUAACCUAAGAUCAGGCGCACCAGAUAGAUCAGAAGAGACAGAGUGUACGGAUCUCGUGCAUAACACGUGAUCCGUCAUGGAAUACAGCUAAGACUAAACUCAAGGAUAAGAAGGUUACGUAACCGGCCUUGCAAUAACCGUUGGAUCUAGACCUGAUCUGGCGGACAUAAGAGCGUGCAUGCUACACUCUAUAAAUAGAUAAUAACCCUAAGGUUAAGGUAUAUUUUUUCACUUAUUCUACACUGUUAUAUUAAGUCUUCCUCUCCUCCUUACUUGAUACUAACUUGAGCGUUGGAGUGCUAACGCCGAUAUCAACACCGGUGUGUUUUGCAGGGAACAGGAAGAAGAACUAGGUGAGCAUCCAGUCUUGACAGACUUCAUGGUGUAAGCUGCAGAGCAAACUUAAAUAUUAGCACCCACCGUGGAUUUCCACGAACUCAAGCCAUCUAGUUCUUUAUUUUGUAGAUCUGCAUGUCUUCUUUUAGUUUGUUUCGUUUGGGAUCUGUUCACUUCAGUUUGUUUCGUUUUAGACCUAUUUGUUUUCUUUCAGUUGGUUUACUAUAACCAGAUCUGUGUUUUCAUAGUUUUCUUGUUUGUUAUUUGUUUUGUUUCUUUUUUUCGUUGUGGUAGGAUGGCAGCAAGCAGACCCAACAGAGCUCAGAUUGAAGCAGCAAAUGAAGCUUUGCAAAAUCAGUUACAUGAUGCUCAGGAGAGAGAGGAGGCUCUCCAAACAGAAAUCAACCAACUCAGAGAACAGGAAGCGACUAGAGCAGCCCAAACAACCCUAAAUCAACAAGUUCAACAACCUGACAACCAGGAGAACCCUCCACCCCAACAUGAUGGUCAAGUGGACGAACUUCCACAACCCCCACCACUCGACCAUCAGUAGAAUCAGCAAGGCAGGCAGCCUAGGGUUCCAUGCCAGCAAAACCAAGGAGAUCCAGUUGACGGCGAGGAAUCUCUCGCCGUCAACACCGAGAACGAGACAGAAGAAGAGAAUGACAGUCAAGCUCAGGGCAACGCGGCUCCAAACUUAGCAGAAGUGUUGCAGAUGGUUCAGGCCUUGCAAACUCAGGUAGCACAGGGAUCUAAAGCAAACGCAUCCGUGAAGAAAGAUAUGGAACGACUGGAGAAGGAACCAUUAGUAGAUGUCUGUUACACUUAUGUUUUUCCAAGCAAGUUCUCUCCACCAAAGUUUGACGGUUAUGACUGAACUACCGACCCAAGCGAUCAUCUCACCUAUUACAAGCAACAGAUGGCGGUGUGGGAUGAUCGUCAGUAUGACGGAUUGUGGUGUCGUCUCUUUCCUCAAAGUCUGAAAACUAACGCACUCAACUGAUUUCUCACCCUUCUGGAGAAGAGUAUCCAUUCGUUUGAGGAGUUGUAAACAACAUUUCUUACCCAUUACAUUCAUCAGAAGAGAAGAGUCACAGAUAUUGCUUCACUGUUUGAUCUGCAUCAAGAGAAGGAUGAACCACUCAAAGAUUUCGUUUCAAGGUUCAAAAUCAUAGUCUUACAGCUAGAUUAGAUUGAGGACAAGAUGGCCAUAGUAGCAUUCCAGAAAGGGAUUCACAGAGAUUCUCCAGCUCACAAGACUAUUGCCUGUUCACAGAUGAAUACCUUAUCGGAGCUUUACCUCAAGGUGGAAAAGUAUAUCAGGCUAGAGCAAACAAUUGCAAGAAUGGAGAUUCCGACAAGCCAAGGAACCGUUAACACAGUUACAUCCGACAACAAGAGAGUUUCCAAGGGUAGCAAGACUGAACACCUAAGAGACAGUGAUGGCAGAGGAGGCAGAGGAGGAUCAGAUAAAAGGAGGAAAGGAGAUGGUAAGGACACUUCCCCAAGGCGGUCACCACCACGAAGACCAUCACCACCGAGAGACAUCCCACACUUCAAUACAAGUCUGUCAGAGAUUUACAGAAAGAUUAAGAAUAGAAGGUAUUUUCAGAGCCCAGGUAACAAAUGUGCAAGCAUUAGAGGUAAGUCUUUCUGUGAUUUCAACCAAGCUCAUAACCACUCAACAAAUGAUUGUUAUUCCUUCCAAAGAUUUUUGAAAAGGUUAGUAGAAGAUGGUCAUCUGAAAGAAUUUUUGCCCCGGGAAGAUCGACAGAUUGUUGCCAUGCCUCAACCUAUCCAGGUAAUUGGAACUGUUAACAUGAUACUUGAAAAUUUUCAUGAGUCUAACAACAAGCAUAAGCAGAAGGUCAGGAAGGUCCAUCAAGUCUGUGAACACAGGGAAGGUCCUGAUACUCCGAUUGCAUUUCCCGUGAUGCGAAAUGGCAAACAUGUGCAAUAGACAGAGCCGAUAUAUUUCUCUGAUGACGAUCUCCAUGGGGUUGACACUCCACACAAUGAUGCACUCACAGUUACUAUAAAUAUUGGUAGCUGGAGAGUCAGGAAAGUCCUUAUUGAUUGCGGAGUGGAUAUUCUUUACACCAGGGGACUCAAUCAAAUGAAGCUAGACAGAUCUCAUUUGUCCCCUUCCAAGGGCAACGUCUACGGAUUCAACAGAGGAUCAAGUCUUCCAUUAGGUGAGAUCACACUUCCGGUUUGUGUUGACAAGAAAACUGUUGUGUCUCGUUUUGUUGUUGUGGAGGCAGGAUCCGAGUACAAUGUUAUACUGGGUCGUAGUUGGAUCCAUGCAAUGAAGGCUAUUCCAUCCACUCUGUAUCAGAAGGUACGCUUCCCAACAGAAGAAGGACAGUACGAGAUCCGAGGGGACCGACUUUCUAAGAAAUGACAAGUCAUGACACAGUCAAACUCAUGAGCAGACAAGCAGAUGGGGAUCGGAUGACAGGUCCGACAACACCGACAAAUAGCAACGAGAUCUGAGGGGACCAGGCUCUCUCAAAAAUGACAAGUCAUGACACAGUCAAACUCAUGAGUAGACAAGCAGAUGAGGAUGACAGGUCUGACAACACUGACAAAUAGCAACUACAGAGGAAAGAUGAUGGGAAAGAGGCCGAGGUUGCUGUUAAAACCGUUGAAACAACAGAGCCCGUCAAUCUCUCUUAACAGGGAUAAAGCGAAUCACCCAUGUUGGGACGCUGCUAGACCCUCAGGUAAAGUCUGAUCUGAUAAAUUUCUUGAAAGAUAAUCAUGAUGUUUUUGCUUGGAGUAUGUCGGACAUGCUAGGAAUAGAUCCAUCUAUAACUUGUCAUAAAUUGAAUGUUUGCAAAGAUGCUAAUCCUGUAGCUUAGCGAGUACGGACUAUAGUCACUAUACGUCCAGCUUUGGUAGAAGUCGUUAAGACAGAAAUCCAGAAGAUGUUUGAUGCUGGCAUAGUGAAAGAAGUGCAAUAUCCAGAAUGGGUCUCGAAUAUUGUUGCAGUGCCUAAGAAGAAUGGGAAGUAAAAGUCUGCAUAGACUUCACAAACCUCAACAAAGCAUGCCCGAAAGAUAUGUAUGUAAUGCCGAGAGUAGAUGAACUCGUUGACAGAACUGCCGGAUAUGAAUUGUUGUUAUUCAUGGAUGGAUACUCUGGAUACAACCAAAUUGCUAUGUAUGAACCUGAUCAGUCAAAGACAACCUUUUAUGCUGGGAGUAAGACUCUUUGUUACACAAAAAUGCCAUUUGGUUUGAAGAAUGCUGGAGCAACUUACCAAAGAUUGAUGGAACAUAUGUUCAAAGAUCACCUCAAGAAUACAAUGGAAGUGUACAUUGAUGAUAUGUUGGUAAAAUCCGUCAUAACUGGUGACCAUCUGGCUGACCUAGAUAUUACGCUCAAUAUUCUCAGAUCGUACAGAAUGAAGCUCAAUCCAGAGAAGUGCACUUUUGGAGUUUCAUCAAGGAAGUUCCUGGGGUAUAUAGUGACGAAAAGAGGGAUAAAGGUGAAUCAAGAGCAAAUCAGAGCCUUAAUCGAGAUACCAUCUCCGUCUACCAGAAAAGAAGUUCAAGUCUUAGCAGGAAGGAUCACGGCCUUGGAAAGGUUCAUUUCACGCUCCACAGAUAAAUGUAAGCCUAUUCUUACACUCCUAAGAAAGAGUAUGUAGUUCAAAUGGAACAGUGAAUGCGAAAGCGCCUUCAAGACCUUGAAACAGUACCUCAGUGAGCCGCCAAUCCUGGCAAAGCCGACACCAGGUGAAAUUUUAUUUUUGUAUUUAGCUAUAUCUAACAUUGCCGUGAGUACAAUCCUCACGCGCAGGGAAGGAACGAAUGAGAAUCCAGUAUACUUCCUCAGUAAAAAAUUGACAGAUGCAGAAACGAGAUACACUAGAGUGGAAAAGUAUGGUCUGGCAUUACUAUUUUCAGCACGACGCUUACGGCCAUACUUCGAAGCUUAUAUAGUUACUGUUGUCACUAACUUGCCACUAAAGCUUAUUCUUUCAAAAAUAGAAAAAACAGGUAGAAUCGAGAAAUGGGCAAUCGCUCUCAACAAGUUUCAUUUGCAGUACGAACAGAAGAAGGUAGAGAAGUCUCAAGUGCUAGCAGACUUCUUAGCAGACUUCCCAGUAGAAGAGGAUGGAGAGGUGUCUGAGAUGCCAUUAGAUGCAGAAGUGACCGAUCCAGAGUUGACUGAAUGCAGGAGAGAAUGGGAGACAAUUAUAAGAUGGCGAAUGUUUGCUGACGGAUCUGCCAGCAAAGACGGAUCCGCCAUCGGUAUAGUCAUUAUAACUCCAGAAAAUUCCAAAAUUGAGUUAGCAGAGAAACUUGGAUUCCCGGCAACUAACAAUGAAGCAGAGUAUGAAGCGAUCAUUACUGGGCUCGAAAUGGUGAGUUCACUCGGUGUGAAGGAGAUAGCAGUGUUCACAGACUCAAAGUUGGUUGUAUAGCAGACUGGGGUCGGCUACAAAGCCACCAACGCCAAAAUGGCAGCGUACUUAAAGCUCCUGAAGGAGGUAAUGCUCAAAUUUUCUGCAGUAGACAUUAUCCACCUCUACAGGAACGACAACCGGCAAGUAGACGCUCUAGCCUACAUCGCAGCCAUGUUAGGUGAUGCAGAGACAAAAACUAUCACAUUGACAAGAAAAGAAAAAUCAAUGCUCGAGAAAUCAGAGGUCGUAAUGGCCGUUAAUUCCGAACUGGGGGCAAGCUGGAUGGACCCAAUAGUCCGAUAUCUUAGAGAUCAAGAGCUCCCAUCCGAGAAGACAAAAACUCAAAAAGUCAUCGAGAGUUCCAAAAGAUACACUCUAUUAGAAGGAGAGCUGUACAGGAAAUCCCACCAUGCUCCACUCUUGAAGUGCGUACACCUAGAUCUCAUAGAGCAGGUUAUGGCCGAAAUUCACGAUGGCAGUUGCAGCAGUCACUCUCCAGGAAGGGCAAUGGCUCACAGAGUUAUGAUUCAUGGGUAUUUUUGGCCCCGUCUAUUCUGUGAUUGCGUGGAAUACGCCAAGAAGUGCGGAGGUUGUCAAAUCCAUGGCAGGCUAAUCCAUUCUUCAGCCGAAGAAUUGCACCUAGUCGGAAGUCCCUGGCCAUUCGCAAGUGGGGGAUUGACAUUAUUGGCAAAUUGCCAACUUCAGGAAGGGGCCUAGAAUUCCUAUUGGUGGCCACGUAAUACUUCACAAAGUGGGUGGAGGCAAUUCCACUGCAGCAGGUCAAAGAAGAGCAGGUAAAAGACUUUAUUUGGGAAUACAUUCUCUGUCGCUUCGGUCUUCCAAAAGCAGUUGUAACUGAUAACGAUCCUCAAUUCUGUGGUGGGGAAGUGAAAAAGUUCUUUGAUAGUUAAAAAAUCAGGCAGUACUUCGUAUCACCUUUCUAUCCGCAAUCUAAUGGCCAAGCCGAAGCGACAAACAAGUCUAUUCUGGAAACAGUUCAAAAGAAGUUAGAAGACAAAGGUGUGAACUGGUCAGAGAGCAGUUAUUGGAAGUGUUAUGGGCAUAUCGAACUACGCCAAGAAGGUCAACAGGUGCAACACCGUUCUCUCUGACAUAUGGAAUGGAGGCAACCAUAAUCCCACCAGAGAUGAUAACACCAUCAACCCGAAAGAUUGUGGUAGACGUUGGGAUAAAUGGGGAAAUCAUUGAAAGAGAGUUGGUGUUGGCAGAAGAGAAGAGAGAUAUGGCAAGAACCAAACUCGAAAGUUAUCAGCGAAGCAUGCAAAGGUCCUACAACAGCAAAGUCAGACCACAAACUCUUAAUGAAGGCGAUCUAUUCUUGCGCAGGAAAUACCCCGCACCAUUGAAGCUCCGUCCAAACUGGGAAGGACCUUAUGUAGUGGACUGUGUCGGAACAAACGGAUCUUACUACCUCAAGACUGUCGACGGAGAGGCUAUCACUAAGCCUUGGAAUAUUUCUAACUUAAAGAAAUAUUUUGUGUAAUCGAAAAGCUCAUUUUGCAAUCAGACAAUUUUGUGUGAGCAGUCAAUUACAAGUGCUAUUUUGAGAGUUAUAAUGGAGAUUAUUCUUGGAGUUUUUGCACUCUGUCAUACAUGUUUGAGUUGUAAAAGAUUUAAUAUCUUGGAGUUUUUGCACUCCGGCAUACGAGAUUCAAUUAUAUAUAUUAUAAUUAUCUUGGAGUUUUUGCACUCUGGCAUACAUGUUUUGUAUCAACCCAUGGACUUAUGGUUCAGAACUGCAAUCCCAGCAAGAGCCAUGCUAACAGUCUUGCCGGGGCACCCUGUUUAGGAAGCAAGUUCAAUACUUGGGGGCGACUAAGGCUGGUAAGAGAGAAGUCUUAGCAGGACGCUAGCCCCGUCUAGUAGCUCUUACCCCCUUGCUCGCACCCCGUAAUGGCUGCUACCGCAGCAUUACGGGAAGCCUUCCAGAAUGGAAGUAGGGCCGAAAGGUCAGUCAUGUCAGGGCCGACAAUGUACCUAACCUCUGUGACGAUAGGGUUAGGCUAACAUCUGUAACGGGAUUGAAUGACAAUGAGUAUCAAUACUCAAAGAGCUGAACGCUCAUGCAAAACGGUCAAUCGCAACGAUUGGAAAAGAAAAAACAUUCAGAUUCUAUCUAAGCAAAGAAUACUGACUACAACGCCUGCCCAUCCACCGCGGGCUGAGAAACCAGGCAAUAUCAAAAUCAUAUGGAAAGAAAAUCAUGCAUUUAUAUAUAGGCGGCCUACUCGUCCACCACGGUUCGAGAAACCAGGCCCAAGUAACAAUAUUAGCUAGCCAAUAAAUUACUAUAAGAGAAACAAAAUGUCGGCCUUCCCGAAGGAGAGACCUAGUGUAUAAAUAUUCUUCAUUAUUCACUAAAUAUUUUGGGAUUACAAAUUAUACAUUAGAGAUUGAUGGGGUUACAAAUGAGAUUUUUUGUUAGAAAUAUUAAUAAUAUUAAUUGAUUUUUUUUCUUUUUGUGGCAAUUGAUUUUAUUUUAGCCUAAUUUUAUUAGAGAAAUGGAUUACAAAUAUGAGGAGUUAAAAAUGAGGUAUAAUUAUCUGUAUUAAUGCAAUAAUUAAUUUUUCUUUUUCUUAUAGCCUAAUUUUAUUAGAGAAAGGGGUUACAAAUAUCAUGAAUUAAAUAUUAAGAGUAAUUAUCUUUGUUAAUACAAUCAUUGAUUAUUUUGUAGGUUAUUUUGUGAAUAUAAUGAAGAUACCAUAUCUAGAAAGUGAUUGAUCCAAAGGACUUUAUUCUCUUGAUCCAAAUCUAUGGAUAUAGUUGUCUUAGAUUAUUCAUCAAAUCUCUCGAUUCACUAAAAUUGUUUGAUUCUUCUCUUCCCAAUUACAUAUCAAAAUUUUGAUUAAACUAAUCAAUAAUGAAAGUGAAUCUUUUUUCAUUUUUUAUUUAUUAAAUUUUUAUAUAAAAAUUAUUUUUUUAAGUAUUUUAAAUAAAUAUAAAUCCAAAAUUAGAGAUUUAAAAUGAAAAUUUUAAUUACAAAAUUUCUGUAUGAUCCUUAUAUGGGUAAAACAUUAAUAGAUUUCUCCAAGAUUUGGUGAAUACUAAAUAGUCAAAUUUUAAAUUAAACUAAUUGAGGGCAAUUAUGUAAUACCAAGAAUUAAUCAUUGGCAAAAAUAUUUUUUUUCUUGGCAAAAACUGGGCCUUAAUUAAUCCAAAGAUUCAUUGGUUUCAAUAUUUUCAUUAUUAUUUCAAAAAAAAUGAAUUUACAAUGGUUUUAGUUGUCCAUGUCUCAUAAAUAUUGGUUAUUUAGUAUUAUAUAUUAAUUAACCUAUAGGUUAUAUUUCUGAAAUUUAAUGUGUUAGCAAUUAAAACUCUUAAUUCUAUGGCUACGAUUAUCUGAAUAGACAACUAAUGGUUAAGAUCAAAUUUUGAACAUCUAAGGGCUAUUAUUUCAACUUAUUACAUCGAUUAUAUAAUUUAAUGUACAUCCAAUGGUUAUGGUUGUCUCCAUAGACAUCUAACGGCUGUGUUUAUAAGACCGUCUUAUAAUAUUAUAUAGAUGGAGUGCAAAUCUAUGCACCUAGUUUGCUGAUAAUUGAUCAUGCACUGGUCAAGUACAGGCAUGACCACGUUAGAGAUAUCUUGUGUGAUGUGUUCUGGCGGGCUGGCGUACAGGUUAAGAAGGAGGCUCUUGUUAACUUUCUUACUGAUCCUAAGGAAGGAAGAUCGACAUUACGUCCUGCUGAUAUUCUGGUCUACAACUGGUCUGAAGGUAAACAUGCGUGUGUUGAUGUUACAGGGGCGUCUCCGAUGGUUGGGCUGAGUGCUGGGAUUUUUGAGGUGGGGCUAGCAGCUAACAAUGCAGCAGCGGCAAAAGUGGAGAAACAUGACGGAGCUUGUAGGGCUAACCAACAUAGUUUCAUCCCCUUUGCAUUUGAUACAUUUGGAUUGCUAGGCUCAGAAGCAGUUGAGCUCCUCAGGAGAGUACAGAAGAUAAUGGAUUGCAACGUGAUGACUGCAGGUUCGAACGAAUAUGUAUUUAGGAGAAUCGGGUUUGCUAUCCAGAAAGGACUUGUCGCGCAGUUUGUAGCGCGUUUGUCCUCUACUUUUGUGUAAUUCGUUGAGCUUAUCAAUAAAAUUUAUUUGAGAAAAAAAAAAAAAUUGAUAUUAGCAUAAUCAAUUAGUUAAGAAAAGUUUGUAGUGACCAUGAGAUGGCAACAUAGAUAGCAGAGAAAUUGUUGGAUAAUGUUAGUAGCUGUUCAAAUUUAUAUUUUGACUACAGAACAUGUAGAAUGAGACAAACCUCUAAUGGAUUGUGACCUUGCAACAAAGAAAAUUGGAUAGUUCAUCCUUCUAAUAAAAAAAAGUCGACCAGGCUACGAAAUUGGAUUAUAGCAGUCUAUACUUUCGUCAUAAAAGAAAAAUCUACAAACCAAGAAUUUGUGACCACUUUUAAGUUUUGCGACGAUUUUUACUAGUCGCAAAACUCAGUGACUGUCUCCUAGGCCGUUGCCGGCAGUUGAUGUUUAGAGCGGUCCCAAAAAUCCUGAUUUUUUGGUAGAGUAGUAGUGUGCAGGACUUGGUUGUCCAAAAUUCCUUGCAUCCAUCUAUGAUCUAUCUAUCGUGGCUUGACAGAAUUUAUCACCUUGGUUCGUUUGUUGAUCUAUCAGAUCAUGGGGAUAACAUAAUAUAAUGUUGCCAAAUAACAAGUUAAAGAAGGGAUAACAUAAUAAUGUUGCACAAUUUUUAGAGUUCAUUACCAAGCCUAAUGUCGCUGAUUUCUUCCCCUGGAUGCGAUGGUUUGAUCUGACCCAGAUUUUAGAUCCACAAAAUGGGAAAAGAAAUGACACAGAUUUUCUGGAUGUGAUCCUUGGGAAACCACAUCGAGGGUGAACCGGCAAAAUUACCAGAGAUUAUAUUAACAUAAGUAUAGGAAUACUGGUGAGAACAUUUCAAAUAGAUUUCUGCAUGUUAUACAUACAUCAAUUCAUACAUCAAUCCGGUUCACAUUUUGAGCUUAUUGUCCUGUUUAUAUAUCAUCAUUUUUUCGGUUUUUGUAUGUAUAAUUCAAUCUGACUGCACCAAAUAUGGCUACAGACACAAGCACUAGCACUGUAGAAUGGGCGGUGACUGAGCUUCUUCACAAUCCCAGGUAAUGAGAAAAGUGGAAGUUGAACUCACUUUUGGACUUGAAUUAGAGUAAUUUCUAUUAUUUUUGUAUUUUUGUAGGAAAUAACCUAAACAGGAAUAAAUCAAAAGAAAAGCCUACAAAAUGAUACAAAAAGAGCAAAAAGAGAAAAGUCAAGUAUGAAGCCCAAAGUCCCAAAUGGUCAAAGCCUUGAAUGAAUAUUAGUGGAUUAAAUCUAAAUGAGCCCGUAAAUUAUCUACAAAGAGAGGCCCAUUAAGAAGAUAAGUGAAGUGAGACUACUAAAUAGAAGAUGGAGCAUAGAAUCACUUCAAGGUUGAUAUUUAAGAUUUUAGUAUGUGUAAAAUACGGAGAAUAUUGAGACAACUCAGCCAUCCAAGGAAGAUUGCCAGCAUGUUCUAGAAUGACACUAUAUAUGCCAGUUUUAUACAGAAUUGGCAACAAGGUCGCAAGAAUUUGAUUUCCAACACAUGUUUUUCAUUAAUCUUUGACCACAAUCAUUCAAAGAUUUUAUUCUUGACAUUUUCUUCCACAAAUGUUUAGUAAUUAGUUUGAUUAUCAAUCAAGGGGUUUUUAGUUUUUGGCCCAUCUAAAUAAUACGUAUUUAAGAUGUAUGACGCUUUUAAUCCAUAUUUAGAGUAUGGGACGCCCUCCGUCAGUUGACUGCGUUGACCAUAAACGAAUGCGUUAGAUUUUUCAGAAACCCAUUUCUACCCCUGCACGUGCUGAGCACGAGAUAUAAAACAACAUUAAAAAUAUUUGAGGUUUUUAGUUUUUGGCCCACCUAAAUAAUAUGUAUUUAGGAUGUAAGACGCUUUUAAUCCAUAUUUAGAGUAUGGGACGCCCUUUGUCAGUUGACUGCGUUGACCUGUUGGAUUUUUUCAGAAACUCAUAUUUAUCACCAUUAAACUAUACAGAACAUAAAGAAUAUUAUUUGAAUUGAAAUCUUCAAAUCCUCAGAACAUCUUGAAUCCCUUACCCUUGAGCUUUUGCCCAACGUGAGAACUGAUAGAGCUGCACCGUCUCAUUCGUGGCAUGGGAUGCUAGAAGCAGAUAAUUACGUGGUUGUACCAUCCAUGCAAAUCUCAUGAACAACGCCGAAUAAACACACAAUACUGCAACAUAAGGUCAAAAGUGAAAAUUAAAAUAACACAACUAAUUAAGUAUUCACAGGUUUCAAAGUCAUAAAAAUGAUUACCUCCAGUCAUAUUGCCAGAUAUGAGUUCUGGGGGUUUCUGCGCGUCGACUAAUCCCUGUUAAAGCCACCGAUUAAACAAAAUUAUUAUUGAGCCAACACAAAAUGAUAAAGAAUAAUAUUACUAAGCCUCCAAGAAAUCAUCUUACAGUAAGAAAAAUCUUAUGCUAAUAACAAAUUAUGCUUGUUAUACAAACUCAAAAGGAGUUUUUAGUUUUUGGUCCACCUAAAUAAUACGUUAUGGUCAACGCAGUCAACUGACGGAGGGCGUCCCAUACUCUAAAUAUGGAUUAAAAACGUCUUACAUCCUAAAUACGUAUUAUUUAGGUGAACCAAAAACUAAAAACCCUUUAUAUUUUUAAUGUUGUUUUAUAUCUCGUGCUCAACACAUGCAGGGGUAGAAAUGGGUUUCUGAAAAAUCUAACGCAUUCGUUUAUGGUCAACGCAGUCAACUGACGGAGGGCGUCCCAUACUCUAAAUAUGGAUUAAAAACGUCCUACAUCUUAAAUACGUAUUAUUUAGGUGGGCCAAAAACUAAAAACCCCAUCAAUCAAAUCAAAUAUUGUGUAAUAUUUUACAAUUUUCCCAUUUUAGGCUCCCUAUUGAUCUAUAAAUAGGGAGCUUUAUUCUUUGUAUUCAUCAUCAGGAGGUGGGAGCAAAAACUUCACUCUUAUAUCAUUCUAAUAAAGUUUUUUUUUUUUUUCUUCUUCUUUUAUUGUUUAGUUAGUUUUUAUUUUAUGUCAUUUCAUUUAAUAGAUUUUAGUAUAGUAUUAUGCUAGGUUAAUCUCUCUUUUUCAAGGGAGAGAUGAAGCCUUUUCAUUUUUAUGUAGUAGUUAAUAUAUGAUUUAUUAAGUUUUAAUCCAUUAAGAGUAAUUGUGGAGAUCAAUGAUCUAGUGCUCCGAGAGAAGGUUAGAGGUAAGUAAUUGCAAUAAUUUAUUUGUGAAAUGAAAUAUAUAACGGUGUUUAUUUAUUUUCUUCUUAGUUCUUUAAAUUCUUUUAGUAGGUAGAAUAUACACUUUGCUAUAGCUAUUCGAGGACAUAUUGAGUGACGGUCUGAAAGACGAACGUACUCUUUCUUGCCACCAACAUAAUAAUUGUACAUUGUAUUGUAGUCUUUCCUCCAUUUUAAUGAUAAAAAGUAUCAUUGAUUUUCUAGAAUUGAUAGACUUUAAUGUAGAUAGAAUAAGUGUUUAAUGUCAUACCUUUCAUUUAAGCAUUUCGAAUCAUCUUAGUGUGUAAUGAGUAUCUAUCUACGGAUUAAUCUUGAUAAAUCUAUAUAUUAAUUAUUACAUAAUUGAAUUGGUGGAUUCAAUCUCUUGAAAUUCCCAUCAUAUUUAUCUUCUUACAAUUAUUUCUUACAUUAGUAGUAGUUAAUCAUCAUCUACCUUGCUAUAUAUAUUAUUUUCCCAUUAUUGUCUAGAUUAGUAAAAAUGCAUUUCUUUUCUUUAUUAAACUUGGUUCUCUCUUAGACGUGGAUUCGAUAACCCUUUCUUGAAGCUAUACUUAUUUUAGGUAGUCAAAGAAAGGUUUUGAGAGGCGCGAUCUAAUUAACAACUAUUUCACGCCUUUUCAAAUGGCGUCGUUUCCGGUCUAAGAAAAAUUCGAACCAAUGAAUAAAAGACGUCAUCAUACUGAUCGCAGUCUAUUGGGACUCACCCAACCCUCUCACCUUCCAUACCGAGUUUGUUUUCUUUUCUCUUCUCUAGUUACCUGUGUUCUAUUCAAUUUCAUUUAACAAUUAAAUUAUAGUAGAUUGUUGUUUCAAUUAUUAUAUUUAGUUUGUAUACACUCACUCUAUCUGGUAGAGAAGGACAACAAAUAGUCACAGACAAUUGACUAGUUUGUUUCUGCGCAGGUUCGUACACUAAUUCAUCUUUAGUGGUCCGAUCUUGUAACUAUACCUUCUCACCAUGAAGCCCAAGUUAGCGGUUUAUUUUAAUUGAGUGGUGUAUUGCGCAUUUAAUUUAACAUUUGCAUAAAAUAUUAGAUAAGGGCAAGAACCCUAACAAGAUGAAGUAGUGGAUUUCAUCAUCGCUAUUUUGCCCACCUAGGUUAAAAAUCUCAACAUCUUGCAUAACCUAAGCCCAAUUAAUAAUUUAAAAUCUAUUAGACUUCAAGCCAAGGGUUGCUAUAUAGCUGAUAAGACCCUCUUGAAUAGGAUAAGAUUUUAAGGAAUUCUUAUAAUUAGUACUUCUUGUGCAAUGUCUAGAAAAGUUCUGUCAAACGACGUGCAAUGUCGUCUAAGGUUUAAGUGGUUACAUAAUUGAGGAACGUGUUUAUACACGGAAUACCCCCCACUGAAUCAAAACUGAUCUGGUUGCAUUUGGACGAAAGUUAUUUGAUGAACUUGAGAUUUUACCUUGCCAAGAGUCGGAGCUAAGUCUAGAAGUACUAAGGAUUAGGUUUGCUUAAAAUUCGUAACCUCGAAAAUUAAAUCAAGAUAAAAAAAAGUUGAUUUGUAUGAUCUAGAAUAAUUUUUUGUUUGUGUUUGAUUGAUUUGUAUGCCCAAACUUGGUUGGGUGAGAAACAAAAUUAAUCGUUUAAUUAGUAUUGACCCUCUAUCCUCGGACGACGAAUCUUCUACUCAUUCACCACCAACAACCUUUUCUAUCAUGGCGGGCCUUGAGGAUGCUAGAAAUCUUGAUGAGCAAUUUGCUCUAGUAACCACCAACCCGCAUUCUUGUAUUGUGUUGCUAACAUGUGAUGCACAUUAUUUUGAAAUAAAACCAUCAAUUAUCCAUAUGUUACCUAAAUUCCAUAAAUUCGAAAAUAAACAACCUUAUAAUCAUGUGCAUAAAUUUAUUACAAUUCUAAACACUGUCAAGAAUCGACAUUUGGGUACUGACGGUUUUAGGUUGCGUUUGUUUCCCUUAACCCUUGAAAAUAAAGCUGCCUAUUGGAUUAAAUUUUUACCAGCCAAUUCAAUCACUACAUGGGAAGGGUUACAAAGAAAAUUCCUAGCAAAGUUUUACCCAUAAGACAAAACAGAUGCUCUGAGAGCUGCAAUAGCCAAUUUUAAAGGAAAACCCGACGAAGAAUUUUUUGAAAGUUGGGAGCGUUUUAACGAUUUACUUAUUCGUUGCCCACUCCAUAACUUCGACAAAGUACAACAAGUUUACCAUUUUUACAAAGGAAUUUUGGAAUGAAUCGAACAUUACUCGAGUCGAUGCACCAAGGAAAAUUUUUAAAACAAAAGGCCGAAGAUGCUUAGAAAUUCCUUGAGGAACUAACCGAGAACACCUUAAAAUGUGGUGGCAGCAAUAAGGACAUUGAUAAAAUAGAGGGAAUACUGGAAAAAAAAAAAAAACUGGAAUGUAUAAUGUUAAGCAAGACUCCGAACUUAUAUCGACAGUAUCUAAGCUAGCUACCACCGUUGAGUCUUUAAGUAAGAAAAUGGAUACUUUUAGAAUGGCUUUUGCCAAUAAUAUUAAUCUCAUACUGUUGAUGCCUGUCCAGUUUUUACCGUGAAUGAACCCACUUCCGAACAAGUUUUUACUUAUAAUGCUUACAAUAGGAGACCCACUGCCAAUCCCUUUAUAAAUACUUACUAUCCUGAUAUGAGGAAUCAUCCUAAUUUUAUGUGGAACGAACCAAAUAAUGUCGUGAAUCCUCCUAAUUACCCAAACAAUAGGCCAACACAACCUCAAGACAAUAAUAGAGCCAUUGUGGUAGACCCCAUGACCAAUUAUCAAACAUCCGUAGCCCAGCCUAACAAUAAUGCAAGUUUGGAAAAUACACUUAAAAGAGUUUAUCCAAAAUUUGGAACAAACUAAUAAACAAAUAUAUGUAUUCAAUGCAAGAGUAAAAUAGUAAGUAAAUGCAAAUGAUGCAACAAUUAUGUUGAGUCAAGUCGUUACCACUUUAGUUGAGAGACCAAAAAGUAGUUUACCAAGUCAACCUGAGCCAAAUCCUAGAGGACAAGGCGUAUAUGAGGCAUCCACCUCAAACCAACAAAUGAAUACAAUAACUACACUUAGAUCUGGAAAGAAAGUUGACAACAAAAUGGGUUACGUUCUUGAACAAGAUAAUUCUAUACAAGAAGAAAAAAUAGAAGAAUCUCAACUAAACUUAGAUACAUAAUCUGUUGAAGAAAGUGAGAAAGAAUCGCCUCCUACAAAAGAAAAUGAAGUAGUUGCACCAAAGAAGAAUCAAGAGCCGUAAAAAAACAAACCAACACUGACAAUACCACGACCCAAUGCACCAUAUCCGUCCAGAUUAAAACCCAGACAAGAAAGUAAGUUCAAUGAACUAGCGGAAAUUUUUCAACACCUUCAAAUCAAUAUUCCAUUCUUAACAUCCAUCAAACAAAUACCGGCCUAUGAAAAAUUUAUCGAGGAUAUGCUUAAAAAGAAAACAAUAUAUGAGGAGAAAAAAUUGAGAAAGUAACUUUUUCGAUAAUUCACCAUCCCAUCUACAAGCCUAUACAAGCCCAUACUUCUCUCAAACAUUUGUGCAUCAAGUUUGUGUUGGAGGAGAUUAUUUUAAUUAUAUGAACUUUUUUUCCGCGCUAUCUAGUUUGUCGCUAAUUUCAUUGGUUCAAUUAAUCUGGAAGGAUCAUAAAUUGUUUAGGAUUUUGACAUUUGGCUAAUACCAAUGAGAAUGUCUAGUACAUCUGGCUCAAGACGAAAAACUUAGCGCCACUAGGAAGCCACCUAGGAAAUUGUUUGACUAAAUAUAAUAGACAUGCUCAUGGGUUCAAAACUCUAUAUAAUAAUAUAAAAAUUCAAUGAAAACGUGGAUGGUGUAAGAUGUUUCAUAUGUAGUACAGUUCUGUUGGUAAUAAAAUUCUCUUUCAAUUAAAUUUUUGCUUAUGUUAUUAAAUUCUUUUAUAUUGAGGACAAUGCAUGAUUUAAUUUGGGGGAGUGGCUAAAAUUUAAAUCUUGAAAUUUUAUUACCUAAUAUAUAUAUAAAAAAAAAGACUAAUGGUGAUUUUCUAUGAUAAGAUAUAAAUUUUUAAAGUUCAUGUGUUUGGGAAUUGUAAACAUGGAAAAUCAUUUCAAAAGUUAUUUAUGUAGUUAGAUUAUGUGUUAUUACUAUAAAUAGAUUUUAUUCGUAAAAAUCCUGACUUGGAAAAUUUUAUUCCCGAAAGCCACAAAUGUAGUUUGAAUUGAAGAGCAAUUAACUUUCUAAGGAUCUAAAGGAAUAAGUGUGGAGACCAUAUAACCGUGUGAAACUCGAGCCAUUAUUUUGUUUGGAGAGUUAUAUACGCCACUUCGGGUCCUACGUGGCUCAAUUUUUCUUUCAGCGUAAUUUGAGUUCGUUCUAGUCUCAUUAUUUUUACUUUGAUUGAUCACGAGAGUGAAGUCAUGGGGAGAUAUAAACUUGGGUCUUGUAGUCUAUUCGAGGCGAAAUUACCAUACUACCCUAUUAGAGAUGAAAAUAAGUAUUUUUUUUAGUUUUAGUCAAUUUAGCCUUUAGCACACCUAAAAUAAUAAUAUCCAAGUAGGAGCCCCUCUGAGCCUUUGACUAAGCCAUUUUCUAAGCCCAUUAUCCAUACCCAAUACUCGAAAUUUGGAGUUUACACCUCAAAUUAUAUACAUUACCUAUCUUUUCAGAGAUACUUAGGAUGAAUUAUGAAGACAAACAGUAGAAAAAUGAGAAUGAUAGUCCUUUCUUUAUUAAAAAAAAAAAAAAAAGAGUUGAUGGAAUCAAAAAAAAUAUCCAUGUAUGAUCGAUUCAAUGAAGAAAUGGAUAUUAGUGAAUUUCAAAGUUCGAGAUAUUGAAGAUAUAUGAAAGUAUGAAGAUUCAAGUCUCCAAAAAUGAGAUUAUAAGUCCAAAGUUUAUCAAAGAUCAAUGAAGACCCUUAGUAUCUAUAGAAAACUUUGAUCAUUUAUCUUUCUUUCAUAAACCCGUCCCAAGCCAAGUUACAACCUUUAUAUACUUAUUCGAUUCAAAGGGAUGUAUGGUAAAAUGUGGAGAAUAGGUGAGAAGGCGUAAAGGUGAAAUACCCGAUUCUCUCGCAUAUGAUCAAUAUUCAUUCUAUGAGACUAUUCUAAAAAUAAAGCGUUUAUUUUAUAUAUGCGAGAUGUUCUGAUUUUUAUCUCCUUCCCUCACAUAUAGAGGUAAAAUGAUAAAAGCAAUCUCUAAGCGAUUUUCGUUCUGAGUGUAUGCCCGGUGAGAUUUGGGUCAAAGCGAAUUUUCCGAAAGAAAAUUAGGAAUUCUUUUGCUUGGACAAGAAAAAUUAUAUUUUGUGGCUAUUUACACACACAUACACUCCUUGUCAGGAUUAUGAUCAGAUAGUCUCUAUUUCUAGAAAUAAAAUAAUCUGUUACAUUUAUGCUGGAUGGUUUGAUGUAAAAUGUGAGCAUGAACUUUACAUUUGAAAAAUAUUGUUUUCUCUGAGAAAAGUUGCAUCACCAUUAGUCCCAUUUUUGUUUUUCUGAAUUUUGUGGGUAUAUUCUCUAUAAACCCUCAUCCCACUAGGGGGAACCUACGGGUUUAAAGCCUUACUAUAAAGAUCUACUACAUAAAAAAUCAGCCCAUUUGAAUAUAUUUAGACCCAUCAAAUGUAAUAUUAAAUUCAACGGUAAAAAUGAAUGAUCCACAAUACAUUAACUUGUAAUAUGAUUUUUCUAGGGUUGGAAAAUUCAGAUUAUGAUAAAUUUUGGUGAAGAUGCCGUACAUAAUGAAAACAUUCAUCCUAUAAAAAAUCAUGCCAAUCCAGCAUGAACAAGUACCCUAAAUAGGAUUGAUUCAAAAUUGAGUCAAACAUUUCCUGAGUCCCUGGAACCCCUCCCUAUUAAUAUAUAUAUAUAUAUAUAUAUACAGAGGGGCAUACGGACUUUGAGUUUUUAGAUAAAAUCACGUGAGCAGCCAUUUAGUUUACGUAAAUGUGGUUAUCACUCCGGGUUUAGAAAAACCCAGUUAGGCCCGGUUAACAUAAUUACUUCUUUGUCGCAAACUCUUCUUUCUCUGUUCGUGUACUUACUUGGUUUCAUAGAAAAAACCUUUGCAAGCUGAUUCCUUCUGUGGUUCUCUGAGUCUUUGUCUCUAGUCUUUCUUUAAAUUUGUCUUCUGUUGGUAUUAUUAUGUGUGAACUCAGGAAUACAGUUUACACGAAUUACAGAAAUGAAAAUACACUAGAACAGAAAACAAGUAAUAUAUUUAUUAAUUGAAUUCAACAAAACAGUAACACUUACUACACUGUAUGAAGGAUUAAGGAGAUGAACAGAGGCUUGCCGAAGCAAUAUCCUUAAGACAAUAUUACGUCCCUACUACUGGUGCACACAGGUACUGGACGAUAGUCUCCCAAGAUACAACUGUUCUGCACUCUGCUAGACUGCACUGUGAUAGCAGAGUUCUGGCGAACAAACAAGAAGAACCUUCGAAUACUUUAGAGAGAGAGAGAGAGAAGAAGACUUAGUCUGUAUUGAUUGUGUGCUUACUGGCCAGAACAACACGCAAUUUAUAGGCUAAGUCGUGCCUGUUCACAACAGACACGCACCUGUUGGAAAACGUCUUUUCUCAACAGGUGCAACUCUUGGCAGACUUAUGAAACGUUUAAGGCCCAAGGGACGUACUGUUUCAUUUUGAACAGACACAUCUGUUAAAGUAAAGAUGUAACAUGAUCCUGUGAACCCGUUCACAACUUAACUAAAUAAGUGGUGGACCAAAAAGAUAAGAUAACUUAUCAACCACCACAUAGCCCAAGCCCAAGCCCGAGCCCGAACACGAACCGAGCCGAGCAGAGCCGGCCGGUCGGUCGGACGGUGGGGCGCGCGCGCGUGUGUGGUGGACCACUAAGUGUAUAGCCUUGCGCUAUCGCGCGAAAACUUGGUAACCCAAAGGGCUACACCCUUAGUGUUAUUAUUUUGUAUUUAUACAUCUUUACUCACUUCCCACAACUCAUGUGGGACUAAGUGUUUUUCACACUUAGUUCAUUCAAUCAAGGAAAUGGUCUGACAGGGUCUGUCAGACCUGUUUCUCUAACAAUCCCCCACAUUGAAUGAAAUCCGUCUACACAUUCUCAAAAAAGCUUAUUCGAAGAGUAUGUUGGAACAACAUUGCCUCGGGAUAGGUAGAUAUUUCACUUUGAACCUUCCGUAGCAUAGACCUAUCGGAUUUACUUAGCUAAUCAGGGAAAUUUUUCAUCUUGAACUGUCAGCUGUUGGUGUAAACCAAGACAAUAAGCCAUGCACAAUGUUAUCCCGAUUCUUCUUUAAUUCUCGGUUGUGUUCAUUUUGGCCCUGAACAAUCUUAGGUUCUGCGAGUGCUAUUAGAGAUAUUCUGCCUUUAAGAAAUCUCAUAGAGCCGACCCAGCUCUCACUAACAUAGGUGACCGCUCCUAUUUAAGGGUAUCCUACUAUACCCCACUUGUAUUUCACAAGAUAUAGGCGUCAUUAAAAGCAUAGCUUAGCCUGAACGACACUGUAGGUUGCACUUGUUGCAUCAUGGGAAUGGGAUAGAGAAAAUUCUCCCAAGUGCUCCUGGUGAGUUACUCAGAACUGGUUGUCCUGUUGAACCUAGUCCGUGGGAUCUCCAGUCGCUAGGUUAGGUUUUCGUACAAGGUAACUCGUGGUUAUUGAGGCGUUAGCCCCAUUCCCCUCGAUGCGCAGUCAAUUUUCUCUCUAGAUAAACCUUUAGUAAACGGAUCCGCAAGGUUAUCUUUUGACUUCACAUAAUCAAUGGAGAUGACUCCAUGUGAGAGUAACUGCCUCACGGUAUUAUGUCUACGACGUAUAUGUCGUGAUUUACCGUUAUACAUAAAGCUUUGAGCUCUUCCUAGAGCUGCUUGAUUGUCACAAUGGAUACAUAUGGUCGAUACCGGUUUCGACCAUAAUGGGAUGUCUUCUAAGAAACCCCUAAGCCACUCAGCUUCUUCACCUGCUUUAUCUAAAGCUAUGAAUUCAGAUUCCAUUGUGGAUCUUGCUAUGCAAGUUUGUUUUGCAGAUCGCCAUGAUACUGCACCACCUCCCAAAGUAAACACAUACCCACUGGUUGCCUUGGAUUCUCCUGAAUCAGAAUUCCAAUUUGCAUCAGUAUAACCUUCAACAACACUUGGAUAUCUUCCAUAGUGUAAGGUAUAAUUAGGUGUAUCUUUUAAAUACCCUAAUACUCGCAAAAGAGCAUUCCAGUGUUUUUGGCCUGGAUUACUAGUAAACCGACUUAGUUUACCAACUGCAUAGGCAAUAUCUGGUCUUGUACAGUUCUUGACGUAUAUUAAACUACCAAUGAUUCGAGAGUACUCGAGUUGAUCAAUGAUAGGACCAUGAUUUUUAUGUAACACCAUAUUUGGAACAAAAUGUGUAUUUGUCUUUUUAAUUCCAUGAUGUUUGAACCUCUCUAUCAUUUUUUCAAUAUAAUGAGUUUGAGAUAGCCCAAUUCCAUUAGGUGUUCUAAUUAUCUUAAUUCCCAAGAUAACAUCUGCCACACCUAGAUCUUUCACUUCAAAGUUGUUUUUGAGCAUCUUUUUCGUAGACAUAAUAAUUUCAUUAUUAGUCCCGAAAAUGAGCAUGUCAUCGACAUAUAAACAAAUAAUGACGUAAGCCUCGCCUACUUUCUUGAAAUAGACACACUUGUCACAUUCAUUGCUUUGGAACCCAUUCUUCAUCAUGACUCCAUCGAUGGUUAUAUGCCGUUGUUUUGGAGCCUGUUUAAGACCAUAGAGGGAUUUAACCAGUUUACACACUUUGUUUUCUUUCCCUUUGACUUGAAAACCUUCUGGUUGUUCCAAAUAAAUCUCCUCUUUUAAGUCACCAUAUAAGAAUGCAGUUUUAACAUCCAUCUGAUGUAUUUCCAUAUUAAAUAUGGCUGCAAUCGCGAUUAACAUUCUAAUUGAUGUUAUCCUCGUUACUGGUGAGUAUGUGUCAAAAUAGUCUAAACCUUCCUUUUGACGAUAUCCUUUUGCUACUAGUCUAGCUUUAUACUUAUCAACUGAACCAUCUGGUUUUAGUUUUCGUUUGAAUAUCCACUUAUACCCCAUGGUUUUACUUCCUGGUGGAAGAUCUACCAAUUCCCAGGUAUUGUUGCUUUGGAUGGAUUCAAUCUCAUUUGCAAUUGCUUCCUUCCAAAGUGGAGCAUCAGGAGAAGACAUUGCUUCUUUAUAUGUCCUAGGUUCAGUUUCUAACAUAUAAGUUAAGAAAUCUGGACCAUAUGACUUCGAAGUUCUUGCCCUUUUACUGCGUCUGGGCUCUUCCAAUUCAGGCUCAUCUGAAUUGUCAUCUGGUUCAUUUGUUCCAUUAGACACCUCAUGUGUCCGUUUUGGAGUUUUAUCUACAUGAUCUUUCCUAUGAGGAAAGACACUCUCGAAGAAUGUAGCAUCACGAGAUUCAAUAAUAGUGUUAACACUUAUGUCACUAUUUUCAGAUUUAAAUACCAAAAAUAUGUAUGCACUACUGCUUUGGGCAAAACCCAAAAAAUAGCAAUCAACUGUUUUAGGCCCAAGUUUAGUUCUCUUGGGUGGAGGAACCAUUACUUUGGCCAGACACCCCCACACUUUAAGGUAUUUAUAAUUGGGUUGUCGUCCUUUCCAUAACUCAUAUGGAAUGGUUUCAGUUUUCUUGUGUGGUACUCUGUUUAAUAUGUGAUUAGACAUAUGUAGAGCUUCCCCCCACAGGUUCUCAGGUAGACCAGAAGUUAUAAGCAUGAUAUUAAUCUUAUCUUUUAACGUUCUGUUCUUCCUUUCAGCAACACCAUUUUGCUGAGGUGAGUAGGGUGCUGUGGUUUGAUGGAUUAUUCUAUUUUCAGCACAGACUUGUACGAAUGGUGAUUCGUAUUCACCCCCUCUAUCAGAUCUUAUGAUCUUGAUUUUCUUAUCUAACUGAUUCUCAACUUCAGUUUUGUACUUUAUAAAAGCACUUAAUGUCUCGUUUUUACUGUUAAGUAAAUAUACAUAACAGUAGCGAGUACAGUCAUCAAUAAAUGUGAUAAAAUACUUCUUCCCACCUCGUGUUGGAAGUGAUUUAAAAUCACAUAAAUCAGUAUGUAUUAAACCUAGUGGCUGAGUACUUCUCUCAACCGAAUGAAAAGGUUGUUUAGCAAAUUUUGCUUCCACACAAGUCUCACACUUAUGUGUUUUCUCUAUGUCAAAUUUAGGAAUUAAUCCUAAACUUGCUAGUUUCUUCAUUUUUCUGUAAUUAACAUGACCUAAUCUGUCAUGCCAUAAAUGUGGUGACUCAAGCAAGUAAGAAGAAUUAUUUUUAUUCAUAGAAUCAGAAUACACUUUUGCCUUGUUGGUUUCGACAACGGCUACAUUUGCCUUAAAGAGGCCAUCACUUAGAUACCCCUUUCCCACAUACAUCCCACCUUUGGUCAGCACAAACUUAUCUGAUUCAAAGACCAUUUUGAAACCUUUCUUACUAAGGACAGAACCAGACACGAUGUUCUUCCUGAUGUCAGGUACAUGGAGAACAUCAUUGAGAGUGACUUUGUGUCCAGAAGUGAAUUUCAGAACCACUUUCCCAUAGCCUUCAACCAUUGAAACUGAAGAAUUGCCCAUAAAGAGCUUUUCUUCAUGCUCCAUCUUCUGGUAGGUAGAGAAGAGACUCUUGUUAGCACAGAUAUGACGGGUAGCCCCAGUGUCUAUCCACCAUUCCUUGGUAUUAGAUACCAAGUUCACUUCAGAAACCACCGCAGACAGGUGCAUGUUGUCAAUCUCCCUGGAUAUGUCAGUCAUGUUCGCCUCAGGAGUUUUUUCGUCUUUGCGGUGCCUGCAAUCUUUGGCCAAGUGACCUUUCUUACCACAAACAAAACAACCCCCUUUGAACUUUUUCUGACCUUUGUCCUUGGGUGCAUUGUUGGACUGAUUCUUCUUCCUCUUCUUAGAGGAAGUCUUACUUUGCUUUGAGGUCUCCACCAGAUGUGCCUUAGCUUCAAACGUACUUCGGGUUUCAGUACCUCUGUUGUCCUCUUCAAUCUUCAGUCGCACUAUCAGAUCAUCCAGACAUAUUUCCUUUCACUUAUGUUUCAGAUAAUGCUUGAAAUCUUUCCAAGAAGGAGGCAGUUUCCCAAUGAGUGUUGGCACUUGAAAAGACUCACCAAUUACAUGGCCCUCAGCAUGGACUUCAUGUAAUAUGAUCUGGAGUUCUUGGAUUUGAUCAGAAACAGACUUGGAAUCAAUCAUUUUGUAGUCCAUAAAUUUAUCGACCACAAAUUUCUUGAGACCAACAUCUUCAGUCUUGUAUUUAUUUUCCAGAGCCUCCCACAGUAAUCUGGCAGUAACAAUAGGUUUAUAAACCUUGUACAGCACUUCAUCAAGCGAAUUCAGAACAUAAUUUCGACAAAGGAAAUCAGAAUGCUUCCAUGCUUCAAUAGCCUGGAACACUUCCUUGUCUGUUUCAGCAGUCUGACCAGGUUUGGGCUUAGGAGUAUCUUCAGUUAAGAACUUUGCCAAACCGAGAGUGGUCAGAUAGAACAACAUCUUGCUCUGCCAUGUCUUGAAAUCCACACCCUUGAAUUUCUCUGGCUUGUCUUGAGGAGUGAUGAUCUUGAUCUUAGUCAGAUCAGACACUUCAGUAGUCUUCAAAGAAGAACUGCUCGUAAUUUUUCCUAUUAUUUCACACAAAAACCAACUUUUUAUAUUGUCUUAAGUCUGUUGGUAUUAUUAUGUGUGAACUCAGGAAUACAGUUUACACGAAUUACAAAAAUGAAAAUACACUAGAACAGAAAACAAGUAAUAUAUUUAUUAAUUGAAUUCAACAAAACAGUAACACUUACUACACUGUAUGAAGGAUUAAGGAGAUGAACAGAGGCUUGCCGAAGCAAUAUCUUUAAGACAAUAUUACGUCCAUGCUACUGGUGCACACAGGUACUGGACGAUAGUCUCCCAAGAUACAACUGUUCUGCACUCUGCUAGACUGCACUGUGAUAGCAGAGUUCUGGCGAACAAACAAGAAGAACCUUCGAAUACUUUAGAGAGAGAGAGAGAGAGAAGCAGACUUAGUCUGUAUUGAUUGUGUGCUUACUGGCCAGAACAGCACGCAAUUUAUAGGCUAAGUCGUGCCUGUUCACAACAGACAUGCACCUGUUGGAAAACGUCUUUUCUCAACAGGUGCAACUCUUGACAGACUUAUGAAACGUUUAAGGCCCAAGGGACGUACUGUUUCAUUUUGAACAGACACAUCUGUUAAGGUAAAGAUGUAACAUGAUCCUGUGAACCCGUUCACAACUUAACUAAAUAAGUGGUGGACCAAAAAGAUAAGAUAACUUAUCAACCACCACAUAGCCCAAGCCCAAGCCCGAACACGAACCGAACCGAGCCGAGCCGAGCCGGCGCGCGCGCGUGUGUGGUGGACCACUAAGUGUAUAGCCUUGCGCUAUCGCGCGAAAACUUGGUAACCCAAAGGGCUACACCCUUAGUGUUAUUAUUUUGUAUUUAUACAUCUUUACUCACUUCCCACAACUCAUGUGGGACUAAGUGUUUUUCACACUUAGUUCAUUCAAUCAAGGAAAUGGUCUGACAGGGUCUGUCAGACCUGUUUCUCUAACAUCUUCUUGGUUAGAUAUCCUUCUCUUUAGGUGUGAAACUUGUUCCAAGUGCGCGCCCGAGCUUCGGUAUUUUUUUUAGAACUGGUUAGUUCUUUUUUUUUUUUUUUUUUUACUUCAUCCAUCUCCAUCUUUAGUUAUCAAAUUAAGAUUGAAGUCUGGAAUCCAUACAAUUUAUAAUGUGUUCUUCACUUUAUGGUACUCAUGAUACUAAUUCAGUAAAGUGAGUUUUUUAUUUUUUUAUUAGCAUUUUCAGCAAUUAAUUUUUAUAUCUUAAUUUUGAGUGUAAAUUGUUUUUUUUUUCCUUCAAUAAUCAGGUUGUUACAUGGAUAAUAUUGAACCCGAGAAUGAAUUUUUUGAGGUAAAUGGACAUGGAAAUGAUAUGGAAGAAGUAGCGAUGGUAGAGAAUGUAGAUGAAUCUUCCAAGUGUGAUAUUAUUCCUCAAGUGCCAAAUGAUCUAAAACCUAUGAGGGGGCAGGAAUUUUCCUCACUUGAUGAAGUUUUAGAAUUCUACAAUGCAUAUGCAAAACAUGCAGGCUUUAGUGUUCGAAAAUGGGCUGAAAAAAAGAAUAAGAAUAAAGAGAUCAUAAGAAAGGAGUAUGUUUGUUUUAAAGAAGGAAAAUGCUCAAUAGUAGAGGAAGUUGAAAAAUCAAGGCAUCGAGGUUCGGUAAGAAAGGGUUGCAAGGCAAGAAUAGCUGUUUCAAAGUCAUCAAAUGGUAAAUUUGUAGUUACAUUAAUUGUUAAGGGCCAUAACCAUCCGUUAUCAACCCCAAGAUAAACUCAUCUUCUAAGAUCACAUCGUGAAUUUUCAAGCGCCUACAAAUGCUUGUCUCAACAACUUUCCAUGGUUAAUAUACCAACACAUCAACAGUACAAUUUUUUGGGGGUACAGGCUGGAGGAUUUGAAAAUAUUGGAUGUACUCAAAAAGAUUUGUACAAUUACAAUAGAGAUGUGCGUAAAGAGUUAAAAGGCCAUGAUGCAGAAAUGUUUCGUGAGUACUUGAAGUCAGAAGAAGAGAAAAAUCCAUCAUUCACAUACAACAUUGACGUAGAUGACGAGCAAAGAAUUUGUCGUACCUUUUGGGCAAAUGCAACCUCAAGAAGAGAUUAUGCGUUGUAUGGUGAUGUAGUUGUAUUUGACACUACGUAUGACACCAACCGUUACAAAUUGAUCCUUGCACCUUUGAUGGGUGUUAAUAAUAAUGGUCAGACGAUUAUCUUUGGAUGUGCAUUCUUAAGUGACGAGACCAUUCCUUCUUUUAUUUGGUUAUUGAAGCAAUUUUUGCUAGCUAUGCCAGGUGAUGCUCCUAAAAUGAUUAUUACCGAUCAGGAUCCAGCAAUGACAAAUGCAAUUGCCCAAACUCUUCCCAGUACUUUUCACAGGUAUUUUUUUUUCAUUUAGUUGAUAAUGGUUAGCUAAGAUAUGUUUUUCCACUAUUGUCUUCUUGAACAAUUUUAUAUAGUUCCCUUUCAACUUUCACAGGUAUUGCAGUUGGCAUAUUUUGAAUAAAUUUUCUGAGAAGUUGGAUGCGGUGAUAUACAGUGUCUACUAUAAAGAGUUUUACUAUUGCAUAUGGAACUCAAAAAGUAAGGAAGAAUUCGACUUGGUUUGGUUAGAACUUAUACAAAGAAGUGGUCUUCAAGACAACAAAUGGCUACGGUCAAUGUUUGAAAUUCGUUUAAAGUGGGUGCCUGCGUAUACAAGGCAUGUCUUCUCAGCUGAAAUGACUAGUAGCCAAAGAGUAGAGAGUUCUCAUUCAUUCUUUAAGAAAUAUGUUGGAGAAGAUAAUUCGAUGGUUGAUUUCAUGGUUCAGUUUGAUAGGGGACUUCAAAAGCAACGUCAUGAAACAUUGAUUGCAGAUAACAAAGAUGUGAUUGAGAAGCCUAAACUAAAAAUGCUCAAUGACAUCUUGGUGCAGAUGGUUGAUAUCUAUACGAAUGAGAUCUUUUAUAAAUUCCAGAGUGAGUUGUUAGAGAGCUUUAAUUAUAAAUUUCGACUUAUCAAUGAGACAGAUACUCAUAGAGUUUGCAGGACUCAAAGAAAAAAUGUUGAAACAGAUAAAGGGAGACAAGUUUCGUAUGAAAAGGAUUCAGAUUAUGUUUCUUGUACAUGUAACAAAUUUGAAAGCAUGGGCAUCCCAUGUCGACACGUUUUGGCAUAUUUGCAUAAAUAUACAGAUUUUGAAAAAUUGCCAAGUCAUUAUAUUUUGAAGAGGUGGAAAAAAUCUGCUAAAUCUGAGACAGUCAUAGAUUGUACUGGUAUUGAGAUAGUUGAUAACAAAUCCUAUUUUCUGGAACGAAGUAGAUUAAUUCAGUGUUGUUUGGGUGUAGUUAAUAAAGCUCUUACAAGUGAAGAAGCUAAGAAAGUUUUGAUCGAUUCAUUAUGCAGUGCAGAAGAGAAAAUUAAUCUAUUGGUUGAUUCUGGUAGGAAGGAAAAGAAAACCAGUGGUACUUGUGGCAAAAGAACAAGGGAAGUGGUUGAUAAUGUUGCAUAUGCAGAACUGGCAAAACAAAUGAAUUGUGAGGAGGUUGCUACUUAUCGUGAACCAAAUCAAGUAAGGGCAAAAGGUUCUGGUAAAAGGAUUAAAGGUGGGAAAGAAAAAGCACUAGGGAGUAGCAGAAAAGAACCCAAAGUGAGAUUAUGUAAGGGAUGUGGUGAGCGAGGAGUAGGACAUGAUGUAAGAACUUGUCCAAAAGUUGUAGGUGCUUCACUUUCGCAGCCAUGAGACAUUUGUGGUAUAAGUUCUUCAGUAUGUUGACUAACUAUGUAGCACGGACACUUCAAAAAUAUGUGGAGUAGCAGCGUCAGACACGGUUCGGACACGGACACGACUCGGACACGCACGUGCCGUGUCGCACGUGCAGAUUCGAUCAGACACGGAUCGGACACGGAUCGGACUUUAGAGAACUCAGAACAGAGAUUAUCAGAUUACUUUUCUUUCUCUCUCUUCCUCUCUCUUCACUCUCGAUCGAACUUCUUCUCUUCACUCUCGAUCGAACUCGAUCGAACUUCUUCUCUUCACUCUCGAUCGAACUUCUUCUCUUCACUCUCGAGUCUCGAAUCUCGACGAAGAAGAACAAGUGAACAACCUGCUAUUGUAAUCGAUCUGCUACUGUAAGUUAUUCUUCUUUAUUUCGAACUCAAAAUUUGUUAAAUUUGUAAUCGAUCUGCUACUGUAAUCGAUCUUUGUUAAAUUUGUAAUCGAUCUGCUACUGUAAUCGAUCUUAAUCGAUCUGCUACUGUAAUCGAUCUGCUAUCGCCUAUCGAUGAUCUUCAUCUUUGUUAAAUUUGUAAUCGAUGAUCUUCAUCUUUGUUAAAUUUGUAAUCGAUGAUCUUCUUCUUCUUCUUUUCUUCUUGCUACUGUAAGUCUGUAAUCAAUUUGUUACCUGCUACUUCUUCUUCUUCUUGCUACUGUAAUCAAUUUGUUCUCUUCUUUUUCUCUUUCUCUUGUACAGUUGUACUAGAUUGUUGAAACCAUGAGUGGAGAACCAUCCAACAACAGCACCAAGAAUCCUCUUUGGAAGUAUGUACAAGUUGUAGAGAAGGUACAGGGAGGAGGAAAUGUCUGUUUCGUGUGUUCUUAUUGCAAUAAAAUUAUUACGGGUUCUUAUGCACGCUUAAAAGGGCAUUUGUUGAAGAUUGGUGGUACAGGAACUAUGAAAUGUACCAAAGUAUCUAACAAUGAUUUGGUCAUGAUGCAAAGAGAAGUUGAAGAGUUUGAAUUGAGCAAGAAACAAUCUUUACCCAAACAAGUCCCACUUCCACCAUCCGCUAGUCGAACUACUUCUUUUUCAUCUUCGGCUUCAACGGGAACUUCAAUUGGAACUCGUCUUCGAGGUUUCGAUGUUCUUCCAUCAAAGAGGAAGAAGAUAGUGGGUGACUCUCCUCUUGAGAGAGCUUUUAACAUGGAAGCUCGAAAUGAAUUAGAUUGUGAAAUUGCAAGAAUGUUCUAUUCAUCAGGUUUGUCGUUUGUUCUUGCAAAGAAUCCAUACUACAUUCGCUCGUAUACUAGAGCCGCGAAUAGCAAAAAUCUUGUUGGUUAUGUUCCUCCUGGUUAUAAUGCUUUGAGAACCACACUUUUACAAAAAGAGAGACAACACAUUGAGGGGUUGCUUGAACCUCUUAAGUCGGCUUGGAAGGAGAAAGGUGUGAGCAUUGUUAGUGAUGGGUGGACAGAUGCUCAAAGAAGGCCAAUUAUCAACUUUAUGGCGGCUAGUGAAAGUGGUCCAAUGUUCUUACAAGCGGUCAAUUGUGAGGGUGAAUACAAAGAUAAGUUUUUUAUUUCUAACUUGCUCAAAGAAGUCAUUCAAUCAGUUGGGCCUCUUAAUGUAGUUCAAGUGAUUACAGACAAUGCACCUGUAUGUAGGAGUACAGGGUUGUUAAUUGAAAACCAGUUUCCUCAUAUUUUUUGGACUCCUUGUGUGGUGCAUACUUUGAAUCUUGCUUUGAAGAAUAUUUGUGCUGCAAAGAAUACACAAAGCAAUGCGGAAACAUAUGAAGAGUGUAGUUGGAUUACAGAAAUUACUGGAGAAGUCAUGACAAUCAAGAACUUCAUUAUGAAUCAUUCUAUGCGGUUGUCAAUGUUUAAUACUCAUUCUAUAUUGAAGAUGCUUGCAGUUGCAGAAACUCGCUUUGCUUCAAGCAUUAUCAUGCUUAGAAGAUUCAAGAAGAUCAAACAAGGGCUUUUGAAUAUGGCAGUUAGUCCAACUUGGACAAACUAUAGGGAGGAUGAUGUUCUUAAAGCUGCCAUGGUCAAGGAGAAGAUUUUGAAUGAUUUGUGGUGGGAUAAGAUUGAUUACAUACUUUCUUUCACCGAGCCUAUAUAUGAUAUGUUGAGGAAGGCGGAUACCGAUAGACCAUGUCUUCACUUGGUGUAUGAUUGGUGGGACAGUAUGAUAGAAUCUGUGAAGAUAGCUAUUUACCACCAUGAGGGAAAACUAGAUGACGAGGAUUCAUCAUUUUAUUCCGUUGUGCAUACUAUACUAGUGGAUCGUUGGGCUAAAAGUAACACACUUCUUUAUUGUUUGGCUCACUCUUUGAACCCUAGGUAAUAUUCAUAUCACUAUUAGUCUAUUACUUAUAUAUUUGUAUUUUACUUGCAUGUCUUCAUUUUUUUUUUUAUAUUAAUGGUUUACUAUAAAUAAUGAUAUAGGUAUUAUAGUGUUGAAUGGCUUGGUGAGUCACCUAAUCGGGUUCCCCCACAUAAGGACAAGGAGAUUUCAGACGAAAGGCAAAAAUGCUUUGAGAGGUAUUUUCCUUCCACCCUCGAACGUAGAGAAGCUAACACGGAGUUUGCUAAGUUCUCCGCUUCUUUGAGGGAGUUUGCUAGUAGUGAUUCGAUUAGUGAUCGUGGAUAUAUGGAUCCGGAUUUGUGGUGGGUUACACAUGGAUCUUCCACACCAUUGCUUCAAAAUCUAGCCUUGAAAUUACUUGGUCAACCUUGUUCUUCUUCUUGUUGUGAGAGAAAUUGGAGUACAUACUCCUUUAUCAACUCUUUGAUUAGGAACAAGAUAACACCACAAAGAGGGGAAGACUUGGUAUUUGUUCAUUCAAACCUUCGUCUUCUAUCAAGGCAAUCUUCGGAAUAUAAACAAGGUGAGAGUAGCAUGUGGGACGUGGGAGGAGAUGGAUUUGAUACUUUGAAUGAUAUUGGGAUUCUUGAAAUGGCAGACCUCUCUCUUGAUGAGCCGGAAAUGGAAACUAUGUUGUACACAAGUGAUGAUGUAGUUGAUGAUGAUGUUGAGUUAUUGGAUUUGGAUGGUAAAGAUAACUAAUUAAGUAUGUUGAAAUGGAAGCUAUGUUGUACACAACUAUGAAAUAUGAAUAUAUGAUAUAUUGAUAUGAUAUCUCAUUUGAUUUUAGUGUUUUAUACAUGUUUUGUACAUAUAUAUUAAAAAAAAAAUAUUAUUUAAUUCCCGUGUCCAUGCCGUGUCCGUGUCCUAUAUUUUUAGAUAUUGUCGUAUCGCCGUGUCCGUGUCCGAGUCCGUGUCCGUAUCCGUGUCCGAGUCCGUGCUACCUAGUUGACUAAUAAUGCUUGAAUUUGGUUUAAUAUGAUGGUGGGAAGGCCAAUUGUUCGGUUAUGUUGCAGCUACAACAAAGAGUAUAGACUCGAAAUGUUUUUUUUUUUCUUUCUUUUGAAAUUAGAAUAUAACUUGUCAUUGUUACUGUUCCAUGGUUCUUAUUUAGUUGCGUAAUAAAAUACUAGUGUAGUUUUUAAAGUAUAUUUUCAUGGUAGUUUAAUUGAUGUAAGCACAAUUACAAAGAAUACAAAUCAGAAAAUGAAGCUAGAAAAAUAUUACUACUUCUAGUAGUAUCUAUAUUAUAUUGUGUGUGGACACACAAACUUGGGAGAUAAACAUAACUAGACAAAGACAGAAAAUGGGCUUAAGUUGUUAUGUUAUAUGGGCUUAAGUUGUUGUUAUGUUUUAAAUUGGGCUUGAGAUGGGCUUUAGUUGAAACCUUAUUGGAAACAGAAUAUGGGUUUAAGUUGUUAUGUUAUAUGGGCUUAAGUUGUUCUUAUGUUUCAAAUUGGGUUUGAGAUGAGCUUUAGUUGAAAAUACUUAUCAACCUUUAUAACAGAGCUAUCAACUGCUCCUUUCACUCCACCGCCGGAGUCGAAUCACUUCACUACUCCAUCCUCUCCCGAUGUGCCUUUUGCUCUGACCUUUUCAUCUGCUAUGGAUCUCAAAAGCACCAGUAAAUCAAGUUAUGUCACUGCCAAUUUCAACUUCUAUCAACAUUCAACUUCUAUUACCAAAAUACUUAUCAACCCUUACAAUGGAGCAGUACCUUAUAAAUCAACAUUCAACUUCUAUUACCAAAAUACUUUUCAAUUUCAAUUUCUACUUCUAUAACUUAUCGCUUUCAAUUUCUAUUACUUAUCAAUUUCAAUUUCUUUUACUUAUCAAUUUCUAUUGCUUAAGUUGUUAUGUUGGGCUUAUCUCUUCGACUGCCUAAAACCUUAAUUAAGCAAAAGAUUUUCUUUGUCUGUGAAUCAAAUCGAACACAGAGGUAACUCCCUUCUUCCACCUUCAUCUUCUACUACUUGAUAAUCCAAUUUGUCUUUUUUUUUUUGUUCUCCCAAUGAAAUUUAUUUUGCUAAAGAGUUGGUACUUGGUACAGAGAUAUCAAAGAAGAGUGCGAAAAAAACAAAACAUUGAUGAAAAAGUUGUGAUUUUUUCACAUGAACCUGUUGUUCCUACUUCCUAAAGAAACAAGCAGUGGCUUUUUUCUUAAUCUUCCUCUCCUCGCAACAAGUAACUAAGUAAGCACUUUCUCUUUUUUGAAGGUUGUUUAUUUUCUUCAAUUUUUGUACUUUUUUUAUGUGUUUGCAUGUGGUUUGUAACUAGCAGUAUGCCAACCCCUCCAAUCAUUAAGAUUAUAAUCACUGAGUUAUCAACAAUAGGAGAAUUCAAUGGGGUAUAUAGAUUUAUGUUAGAGAAAUUUAAUAUCAUUCAAGAUGCCAAAUCAGUACCAAUAAUAGUAAUUAAUAAUAAACGGGAGAAAAUAUUUUGGCCCUUUCGGGAGAGAUCUUUUAGAGUAGGGGCAUCCCUUUGUGCUAAAAUUCACAGUUACUGAGCCAAAGCAUUGGCUCAGUAACGAAAUGAACCCUCAUAUCAGCUCCUGGUGACUGGCCGGUGAGACAAUGUUUAACUUAGGAUCGAAGACAUCAAUGCCAUGGAUAACUCAAAAGAGUCCAGAGAGUGCAAAGGUCAUAUGACUAAUGACUUUCAUACUGUCCAAGAAGGUCCUUGCUAUAUUGAGAGAAAAUUUACGAACGUCUUUUUAAUAUAGCUUUCUUCAUGCUUACAACUUAAAUCUAAUGCCUCAAGGUUUUGGGUAGUGAUAUGCCUUCCCCUGAUGCCUUAUAGCACUUAAGAUAUAUACUGGAUAUACGCCAGAUUAGGAUAAAUGAUAGGUCUCAUUGGUCCAAAAGGUUACUCUCAAGUCCAUCUUGCUUAUCCUUGAGCAACCAUAAAAAUUUAUCAUGACUUCAUGUGUCUUGAAAAUCUAUUGCAUGGAACAAAGUUCUUUCUACAACAGGACGGUUUUCUGUUACUUUAAGCAUGCAAAAGCUUAUAAUUGGUCUUGAUUUCUUGAUCAAAUAAAUGGGUUUAAUACUUGGACAAUAUGAAAUAUGCAAUUAAUUCGUGCUAACCAAUAUAUAGUUAGUUAUUGAACUGUCUAGAGUAGUCAUAUACAGGAGGUUUGAUAUGAAUAUUUUAUUAAUGCAUUGAGCCCAAGGCCGAGUUCCAGGCUACAACGUGGCUUAGUGAUCCCAUCACCCAUGAUCCUCACAAGUAUAUUAACUUAUAAGUUUAUUAGGUUUUUUUGACAAUCAUGGAACUCUUCUAAGUAGUGUGUUAAUACAUUUAUGUAUAAAAACUUCAGAGUUCAGAUGCAGUGAUCAUUGGUACCAUUACAACUUUGACAUCUACUCAAAUCCAAGGCAUUUAAAAAAUAAUUAUAGGGAAGUUCAUUUGACGAUCAAUGAACGUCAUGUCAUGUUGUUAUUUUAUAAUGGUCGUGGUAUAUAUUCAAUGCGUUGAAAAAGCUUUGAAUAUUAUGAAAAUUGAUAACCAGAGUUUCAAGAUUAUGAUCCAAUUGUCAGUAUCACAAUUCACCCAAUUAGGUAAAUUUAUCAGUUGGGAUAAAUAAGACGGUCAAAGGACUGCAUUUGAGAAUGGAGGUAUGCAGAGGUAUAAAAGACGCUAAAUGGGUUAUUAAAGGUCACACGAACAAAUCUGUUAGUGAUCUUCAGUUGCUGCUGAAAUUGGGAGUUGAAUGUAGGACUGCGACUUCUCGAAGUAUUAGAGAGGUUUGUGACCACCUAAUGUCACGAUUGUCAAAGCUAAUACUGAUGACGCCUUUAUACGUAACCCAGGACAAGGCGGCAUAGGAGUGAUCUAUAGAAAUCAUUCAGGAGAAUUUAUGGGGUGUUUGGUACAAGGACUUGGCAUCACAGAUAGCUUCACAGCUGGGUGUUGGGCAAUAACUAAAGCUAUUGAAGAAGCCAUUGAUCAAGGAUGGCUGAACUUAUGAGUGGAAACUGAGUGCAUACCAGCUGCUUAGGUGUGUAGUAACCGGAGUCCUCUAUAGCAGGUUCGAGCUCGAUUCAUGAGGGCAACUAAAAGAAUCCAAUCUUUGUGUAUAAUCCAUAUUUAUAGAGGGUAAUUUUUCUGCUGACAUGGCACCUAAAUCACCCCUGAACUUAGGUAUGAAAGAGUGGAGCUUAAUUAGACCCCACAUUCAUUACUUGCUUGGAGGAAACCUACAGAGCUUAUUAUAGAUUUAAGUGAUGAUUUGAUGUAAGCAUGAAGAGCUUGGAAUAUAUACUCAGUUCCUCAAAUUUCUUUUGUAUUUCCUUUUCUUUUUAUUAAUGAAGCUCACCUUAGCAAAAAAAAAAAAAUCCAACAAUUUUCUGGAAUGUAGACUGUUUAGAAAACCAAAUAUACAUACUGCCUAUAAAAUCGAUGGACAAGUUUAUUCCAGUAUUGAUCCAUUGAGUGUGGAGUUGUUUUUGAAGUUUAUUGCUUUGAUUUUGCGAUAGAUUGAAAUCUACCAAUGGUAAUAACUUUGUAACAAUUAUUCAGUCUCCCAUCUUCUUUUACUUGGUAUAUUUGUAGGAUGAGUAUCUGAAAGCUUAUUAUGAUCCAUAUGUCGCUUUGCUCUUGAAACAACAAGAACUAGAAGAUACAAGUAAUUUUUCAAACCAGUCUAAUCGUCAAGGUCAGGUACAAUGAUGAUGCCGAAUGAGAAGAUGCUCUAACUUCAGGUACACUUUUCUUGCAUUAUCAGCUAAACUAUGCUUAUCUCUUUGUGAAGUAAGAUAAAUUAUGUGCCUAAAAGUGUAGUUCCUAAUAUGUAUUUAGUUAUUAUUAUAUAUUUAAAAACCUCUCAUAUUCCCAAUGGAUUUUGAAGAUUAAGUUGUAAUUUUUGUGUGUGGUCGUUUAAUAAAUAUGUAUUAACUAGAAUAUGGGUAGGAAUAUUGAGGAAUUUGUUUUAAGUAGAUGUUCAUCAGAGCCAACCAUUGGAAGCCUUCAAAAAUAAAAAUGAAAGUUAAUAGUGCUCACUAUUGCUUGCCUACUGAUCAGGGGAUAACAAAAUGGAAAACAUUAUAUUAUAAACACUGAUAGAUAAUACAUAUGGGUGUGCCUUCGGCAGUUUGAACACAACCCAAACUGAUGCAAGAGCAGAAUAAAUUUGAUGUUGUCAUUAUUAUUUUAGGCUUGGAGAUGAGCUCCUAUUUAAGGUUUCCUGUUAUUUUGUUCCAUUAUUUUGAUUUUGAAUUUGGAUUCCUAAGAAGAUCAGGAUGAAUGUUUUACUUUAGUUGAUGCCUUUUACAUUGUGUUUCUAAUGAGAAUAUCAAAGUAUUAAUAAAGUUGGUAUCGUGAUUUUUUCAUUGUUGAUAGUGCAUUGGUAUGUAUGAGCUCCCUACAGUAUGUAUUUGCCUCCGUAUUUGUUUUAAGAUAUUAUGGACUAUUUUUGGCUUUAUGUCUUUAACAAUGAAAAGAAUUCAACCAAGUACAGUUAUAUUUAAGUUUGAUUGUGUUUCAACAACCCAGCUAAUUAUAUGAGGAAGUAAAUUACAUUAUAUUGGAGAGUUUCAUUUAUUUACUCUUAUUUUAUUGUGUUUGUAAAUAAGUAUACCUUAUAUUUGCAAUGUGGUAUUUUCUAAAAUAUAAUUGUUAAAAGUGGGUUUUUUUCUCCCUCUCUAUCUCUGUUAUUUUUUCCUUUUAUAGAAAGUACAAGUGAUUAAUAUACGACCAUAGAAACAAAUAGUAGACUAAUUUAUUAUCUGCCAGCUAGAAAAAUCCCUAUUUUAUCUUUCCAAAGAAGAUAUUAUUGUAUUAUACUAUUAUCUGAUAGUUGGAAGUUGACGGAAAUAAUGGUUCACUCUUUUUUUUUUUUUUUUUUCUGAGUAACUUUCUCCAACUUACUACAGGCAGCCCCAAGCAAAAUGUGUGAUUUAAAUGUUAAAGCUACAGCUUCUGGAGAUGACAAGGAAAACAAUCUAAGGAGUUCUUAUAUCAUUAUAUGGAGCACCUGCACUGCACGAUUUUAAGAAAUGAAGGUGAGAUGAGCAAAUUUGUCUGCAAUGCCUUCAUAAGAGAUGUAGCUUAUGUGGUCAAUCUCUUUGAAUUGAUAUGGUGUUAUGGAACACAAUUAUUUUCAGUUCUUGCAAAGAACAAAUUUUAUAACGAAGCUUCAAGAACAUUUUGUGAAUUGAGAAAAGUAGGGUAGCAAGUGACAUAAUUACAUGGACUUUGAUGGUUUCAGGUUAUGCACAUUAUGGGUUGGUGGAUGCGAGUCUAAAAUAUUAUGGAUUAACAAAAUAAUGAUGUUGUUUCCUGGAACAAAAUGAUUGAGGGAUUUGCAAUUUAUAUAUAGGAACACAAAGUUGCACUUGUUUUAAUGUUGUGUGCGGGAGAAAUCUCUGACAGUGUUACAUUCAUAAGGGUCCUCAACACAUGUAGUCAUGUUGGACUACAUGCGAGAUCCAAUACAAUAGUGCAAAUAUCAUAUCAAUUUUGUGUUUGGAUGCACUAUAUGCGAGAGAUGUAAGGAAAAUGUGAUCCAAUUUUUCUUUAGUUCUGCUAUGAGCAAAGUCGCUCCAAUAAAGGUGAGAAACAUAUCUAUAUGAUUAUAUUGAUGUUAAUGUUUUCUAACGUGUUUUAUAUUCUCAACAAGUUUGUAUUUUGUUAGGAGUUUGUUGCAUUUUUUUUUUUUUUUUUUUUUUGGUAAGGUGAUCAUACUCAAUUGUUUAAUUGUUACCAGUUGUAUCUCAAGUGGUAAGGGAUCCUACUCAAUUUUUAAUUCUCGAUUUAAACAUCGUACAACAUUGAUCAAAGCAAUGGUUGCAGACUUGCAGAGAUACAACGAUGGAUAUAACUACCCUAUCAGCCCAUUGAUGAACUGCAUGUUGAUCAGUUGUAAUUUUGUUGUGUGUAAUGGUGUUGUAACAGGAAGUGGGAAGACUGUGUUGUUGAGUGGUCUAUUGUAGGGUGUUUUUCAACUGAUUUUUGCAGGCUGCAGUUAGUUUGUAAAUUGCAUGACAGAGUGCAGCAUAGUUUCUUGACAACUAGAGUAUGAAUAAAGAUGUAGUUGAUCAUGUCUGGUUAGUUGUAGGCUUUGUCUAUGCUGGUAGAUAUGUUUUGUAUGUGUACUCUAUGUUGUUUUUGUUUUAUGGGUGGGUUAGGUAUAAUUCUGUACGAAGAGGAGCAUGUCCUCUGUGAGGUAUUUGAUGGUGCAUUUAAACUGUGUGUUCUCUUCAGACUUUAUAUAUGGUUUGGUUUUUUAGUGUUUAAUAAAAUACAAACUACUAUGUAGACCAUCAAAUGAUGCCUUAAAUCUUCAAUUUGUCCAUCUAUGUUAGAGACCAUUGCUACAGUUACAAAGAUAGAAAUAACCACCCUAUCAGUCUACUGAUGCUGAAAACUAACAAUCCACUUGCUUGGUAUCCUUCCACUGCCUUUACAGUCACACUUGAUGUCACAAUACCCCAUCUGAAAUUAUUAAAAGUGAUCAUAAUGAACAAGAAUAUAUUUUUGGUUCUAUAAAAUAUAUGAGUUGAUAGGAUGUGUUUGAUUCGCAGGCAUUUGGUUCCCGGGAAAAUAAUAGAAAUGGCUAAGUUUUAAAAGAUUUUGAGUAGGAGAUCGGAUAGCUAUUUUAUUUAAAUACGGUUUUUAUUUUCAAAAAAAAUAAAAAUAAAAUCAUUUUCUAUAAUUGAUUUUUAGAUUUAUUUAUCUUACUCCCAUAGUCCAAGUUCCUAAGAUUUAAGUUUAGUCUUGCUAUCUAUUAUUUACCACUUUCUGAGAAUCAAAAACUAUUUAUCUAGUCGAAACUAACGUGGCAUAGCCAUGGGUACAACUAGUAUAUAUAUAUUAUUAAGUUUGUUAUAAUGAAAUGUAUAUUUUCUUUCGAAGAUAAUUUCCAUCUGAAGAUAUGAAGAUAGGUUACCUUGCUUUGCUCAAUGCUAGCAAUCGAAUUGGUUAUGAAAUCUUAAAAGAACACGCUUGUGAUACUGUCCAGAAGAAGCAUUGCAGUGCAAAGAGAGUUUGCCUGCGGUAGUAUACUGUCCAGCCAUGAUGAGUCGACUUGCCAAUGAUUUGGGGAUUGAUACAGUAUUUAUCAUACCUCGAUGCAUUAUAACUUAUUAUUACGUUUUUCCUUGAUGGGAAAAGAAAGGCUAUAGAUGAAUGUAUUGUUGGUAUUUUUGCAUGCAGGAUGAGCAAAAGAAAGGCUCUAUACAAAUUUACAUGAAAGAACUUAGAAUUUCCGAAGAAGCUGCUCAUGAACACAUAAGAGAACUGUUUAAGGAGAUUUGGAAGAAGAUGAACAGAGCACGGGUAGCUCACCAUCCAUUCUCCGAGCCCUUCAUGACCUCAGCAAUAAAUCUUUGCCGACAAGCUCAAUGCAUUAUCAUGUUUGAAGAUGGAGAUUUAAACAUGUAUAAUCUCAUGUCUUUGGUGUUUGAACCCAUCCCUCUUGAGUAAGAACUACACAUGAACAAUGCAGUUUAUAUGAGAUUAUUAGACACAAUUUGGAUUUUCCUUGUUCCUAGCAGUACCAGCUCCAAUGGUUGGUUUCUUUGUUGCCAUUAUUUGAGUGCUAUAGGUCACUACGGAUAUUAGUCCAAAGUACAUUGACCCACUUAUUAACAGGUCGAGUUUGGGUUUAAUUAAAGUCGAGUGCACUAUAACCCGAUUAUUAGAAGAAUUCCAAUCCUGUUGGCUAUUGCCGCAUGGCCCCUUAAUGUAUCCUUACAAACAAGGGGAAGAUAAAUUAAACAAAAUGAUCGCAAAACAUCAAAAUUGAAUACAAUCACAAAUGCCCAUUAUCAUAAAAAUAUUGGUGACAAAUUAUAAGUAACCAACAAUGCCAUUGAACUCAACUUUAACAAGACAAGCUGGGAAUGUGUUCAUACCCUCAUUACAACACCAAUCGGGUAAAUCGAGCUAGAGGAUAUAUAGAAAUUAUUAGAAAGAUGAUGAACUACAUCACAUCUACUAGCUUUAUUCAAAGUUAUGCGGUGUUGCAACAAGAAUAAGAGGGUGUUUCUUGUAAGCUGUAGCACUGAAUUCUUCAGUGACAUCCAAUUCUUUGAUUGUUGUUCCAUUAGGCAAAGUCCAAUCAAAGUGAUACAAAAGAUUUGCUAGUGGAAGUUCCAUAUCAGGGAUUGCAAAAUUUAUUGCAGGGCAUGCUCUCCUUCCUGCACCAAAUGGAAUGAACUGAAAAUCCUGUCCUUUAUAAUCCACAGAAGAAUUAAGAAACCGUUUUGGUAUAAAUUUUUCAGGAUAUUCCCAAUACAAUGGGUCUCUUGCAAUUGCCCACGCAUUGACAAUGACAGUAGUAUUGGCAGGAAUGUCGUAGCCAUGUAUCUUAGCAUCUUGGAUUGAUUCACGGGGGACAAGAAAAGGUCCUGGAAUAUGUAAUCGUAGUGUUUCCUUAAUCACCAUUUUCAUGUAGUGCAUUUUUUCAAGGUCAUCUUCUGUGAUAAAUCCUUUUCCUUUUGCUACGUCUCUUAUCUCCAUUUGGACUUCUUUCAUUAUGUCUGCCUGUUGGAUUAGCUCUGUCAUUGCCCAAACUACGGUUGUUAACGAGGUUUCCGUCCCAGCGGCGAACAUAUCCUACAAGAAAAAAAAAAUGUAAGCAAGCAGCCGCGAUGGAAUGAACAUA